UACGUAGGUGACGAGCGUUGUCCGGAUUUACUGGGUGUAAAGGGCGCGUAGGCGGGAUAGCAAGUCAGGAGUGAAAUACCGAGGCUCGACCUCGGGGCUGCUUUUGAAACUGUUAUUCUUGAGUAUCGGAGAGGAAAGCGGAAUUCCCGGUGUAGCGGUGAAAUGCGUAGACAUCGGGAGGAACACCAGUGGCGAAGGCGGCUUUCUGGACGACAACUGACGCUAAGGCGCGAAAGUGUGGGGGGCAAAC
This 250-nucleotide ribosomal RNA is filed under the name uncultured prokaryote. RNAcentral describes it as "partial 16S ribosomal RNA". It matches the Rfam family "Bacterial small subunit ribosomal RNA", at positions 524 to 773 of the family's 1533-position model. The record is from RNAcentral.